Molecule: ribosomal RNA, 483 nt
Filed under: uncultured bacterium
Lineage: Bacteria
Description: partial 16S ribosomal RNA
Rfam family: Bacterial small subunit ribosomal RNA
Source: RNAcentral
AUUGAACGCUGGCGGCAGGCCUAACACAUGCAAGUCGAGCGGAUGAAGGGAGCUUGCUCCUGGAUUCAGCGGCGGACGGGUGAGUAAUGCCUAGGAAUCUGCCUGGUAGUGGGGGAUAACGUCCGGAAACGGGCGCUAAUACCGCAUACGUCCUGAGGGAGAAAGUGGGGGAUCUUCGGACCUCACGCUAUCAGAUGAGCCUAGGUCGGAUUAGCUAGUUGGUGGGGUAAAGGCCUACCAAGGCGACGAUCCGUAACUGGUCUGAGAGGAUGAUCAGUCACACUGGAACUGAGACACGGUCCAGACUCCUACGGGAGGCAGCAGUGGGGAAUAUUGGACAAGGGGCGAAAGCCUGAUCCAGCCAUGCCGCGUGUGUGAAGAAGGUCUUCGGAUUGUAAAGCACUUUAAGUUGGGAGGAAGGGCAGUAAGUUAAUACCUUGCUGUUUUGACGUUACCAACAGAAUAAGCACCGGCGAACUUCGU